Molecule: ribosomal RNA, 405 nt
Filed under: Coscinodiscus sp.
Lineage: Eukaryota; Bacillariophyta; Coscinodiscophyceae; Coscinodiscales; Coscinodiscaceae
Description: partial large subunit ribosomal RNA
Rfam family: Bacterial large subunit ribosomal RNA
Source: RNAcentral
CAGAAAGACCCUAUGAAGCUUUACUGUAACUUGAAAUUGAAAUUGGACUUUAUUCGCGCAGUAUAGGUGGGAAGCGUUGAAAGUACUUUUGCGGAAGUACUGGAGCUAUCAGUGAGAUACCACUCUUGUAAUGUUAGAUUUCUAACUUUGAACCAUUAUCUGGUCAGAGGACAGUUUCAGGCGGGCAGUUUGACUGGGGCGGUCGCCUCCCAAACGGUAACGGAGGCGUACAAAGGUUUCCUCUGAACGUGUAGAAAUCGUAUCUAGAGUGUAAAGGCAUAAGGAAGCUUGACUGUGAGACCUACAAGUCGAGCAGGGACGAAAGUCGGUCUUAGUGAUCUGACGGUACUGAGUGGAAAGGCCGUCACUCAACGGAUAAAAGUUACUCUAGGGAUAACAGGCUGA